This 29-nucleotide non-coding RNA is filed under the name Rattus norvegicus (Norway rat). The record is from RNAcentral. Lineage: Eukaryota; Metazoa; Chordata; Mammalia; Rodentia; Muridae.
UCCAAAGCACAAACAUAUCCACACGGUGU